This 253-nucleotide ribosomal RNA is filed under the name uncultured bacterium. RNAcentral describes it as "partial 16S ribosomal RNA". It matches the Rfam family "Bacterial small subunit ribosomal RNA", at positions 524 to 776 of the family's 1533-position model. The record is from RNAcentral.
UACGAAGGGGGCUAGCGUUGCUCGGAAUCACUGGGCGUAAAGCGCACGUAGGCGGCUUGUUAAGUCCGGGGUGAAAUCCUGGAGCUCAACUCCAGAACUGCCUUUGAUACUGGCGAGCUUGAGUCCGGGAGAGGUGAGUGGAACUGCGAGUGUAGAGGUGAAAUUCGUAGAUAUUCGCAAGAACACCAGUGGCGAAGGCGGCUCACUGGCCCGGUACUGACGCUGAGGUGCGAAAGCGUGGGGAGCAAACAGG